GGAAGCUGGCUCAGAGAUUAUCGCCGCCGCAAGCAAGUCCAGUGUGUGCGGUUUAUGAGUGAUUCGUAGAAAGCGCAGGACAGAGAGCGAUGCGUGAAAGAAAGGCAGAUGUUGAGCAAAUGGCGAGCCUGUACACAGAUGCGUAGUCGCAAAGAAAGAAG
Molecule: long non-coding RNA, 161 nt
Organism: Ornithodoros turicata
Lineage: Eukaryota; Metazoa; Arthropoda; Arachnida; Ixodida; Argasidae
Exons: 3
Source: RefSeq, a predicted model, not a curated record